AGAGUUUGAUCAUGGCUCAGGAUGAACGUUGGCGGCGUGCCUAACACAUGCAAGUCGAACGGAAAUAGCAAUAUUUGAGUGGCGCACGGGUGAGUAACACGUAGCUAAUCUACCUCAAAGCGCGGGAUAACGUGUCGAAAGACAGGCUAAUACCGCAUAAGCUCGCGGGCUGUAGAGGCCUGCGAGAAAAGGCGUAAGUCACUUUGAGAUGAGGCUGCGGCCCAUCAGCUAGUUGGCGUGGUAACAGCACACCAAGGCGACGACGGGUAGGGGACCUGAGAGGGUGACCCCCCACACUGGGACUGAGACACGGCCCAGACUCCUACGGGAGGCAGCAGUGAGGAAUAUUGCACAAUGGGCGCAAGCCUGAUGCAGCGACGCCGCGUGGGUGAAGAAGGUUUUCGGAUCGUAAAACCCUUUUCUGUGUGACGAGCAAGGACGGUAGCACAGGAAUAAGUCUCGGCUAACUACGUGCCAGCAGCCGCGGUAAUAC
Molecule: ribosomal RNA, 493 nt
Filed under: uncultured bacterium
Lineage: Bacteria
Description: bacterial SSU rRNA
Rfam family: Bacterial small subunit ribosomal RNA
Source: RNAcentral